GACGAACGCUGGCGGCGUGCUUAACACAUGCAAGUCGAGCGGUAAGGCCCUUUCGGGGGUACACGAGCGGCGAACGGGUGAGUAACACGUGGGUGACCUGCCCUCAGCUCUGGGAUAAGCCUGGGAAACCGGGUCUAAUACCGGAUAUGACUCCAUGACGCAUGUUGUGGGGUGGAAAGCCUUGUGCGGCUGAGGAUGGGCCCGCGGCCUAUCAGCUUGUUGGUGGGGNGAUGGCCUACCAAGGCGACGAUCGGUAGCUGGUCUGAGAGGACGACCAGCCACACUGGGACUGAGACACGGCCCAGACUCCUACGGGAGGCAGCAGUGGGGAAUAUUGGACAAUGGGCGCAAGCCUGAUCCAGCGAUGCCGCGUGUGUGAAGAAGGCCUGCGGGUUGUAAAGCACUUUCAGUAGGGAAGAAAGCCGAGUGCUAAUAUCACUCGGUCUUGACGUUACUUACAGAAGAAGCACCGGCUAACUCCGUGCCA
Molecule: ribosomal RNA, 487 nt
Filed under: uncultured bacterium
Lineage: Bacteria
Description: bacterial SSU rRNA
Rfam family: Bacterial small subunit ribosomal RNA
Source: RNAcentral